Molecule: unclassified non-coding RNA, 344 nt
Filed under: Piscirickettsia salmonis
Lineage: Bacteria; Pseudomonadati; Pseudomonadota; Gammaproteobacteria; Thiotrichales; Piscirickettsiaceae
Description: partial 16S-23S ribosomal RNA intergenic spacer
Source: RNAcentral
UCAAUCCCAAGGCUAACGAGAAAAAAUGACUCAAAUCAUGUUAAGUCGUUCAAUAUUCCAGCGUUAUAGGUCGAUAUUCAAGCUGUGCUUUCAUUGUAUGCAUCUGCCCGUACCUCAGAUAUUGUGCUUGAUUCGGGGGAUGGUGUCACUCCCACCGUCCCCAUUGGGGAAGGUUCCUCCCUUCCUCAUGCGGUCAUGGGUAUUGAUCUUGCUGGUCGCGUUCUCACCACGAGGAGGGCUAAAUUACUCCACAGAGGGGGGUUUUUUUUCACAACAUGGGCGAAGUGGGAGUUUUUUCGGAAAACAACGCAAAUUUUGUGUUUUUUUUCGGAGGUUUAUGAACA